CACUGCGAAGCUUAUAUAGCAUUAACCUUUUAAGUUAAAGACCGAAAGUACUAAUCUUUCCACAGUGA
RNAcentral lists this transfer RNA (68 nucleotides) under Cephalopachus bancanus (Horsfield's tarsier). RNAcentral describes it as "tRNA-Lys". It matches the Rfam family "tRNA". From Rfam's summary of the family: Transfer RNA (tRNA) molecules are approximately 80 nucleotides in length. Their secondary structure includes four short double-helical elements and three loops (D, anti-codon, and T loops). Lineage: Eukaryota; Metazoa; Chordata; Mammalia; Primates; Tarsiidae. The record is from RNAcentral.